Mesocricetus auratus (golden hamster) is the source of this 1179-nucleotide long non-coding RNA. RefSeq lists it as uncharacterized. The transcript has 3 exons. The record is from RefSeq and is a predicted model, not a curated record. NCBI's taxonomy places the organism in Eukaryota, Metazoa, Chordata, Mammalia, Rodentia, Cricetidae.
UCUCUUGAGCAGCCUAAAACCUCAAAACGCGAUCACUCGUUUGUGGUUUAGUAAGUGAAACCUGCAAAGCCCGGCUGGAAAAAUCUGUCGGGCUCGCUGCUCCUCAAAGCCCUUCUCGUGUAGACAAUAACGGGACUUGUGUGACAGAGUGGGGACAUCCCUUUGACAAGAAAGAAGGAUGUGAGCCUGGAAAGGAGCGGCCGUCUAGCAAAGGCAGGGCCUCUGUGGCUGUUCCUGCGGACGCCAUUGGGGUUCAGCUCUUGCGUGAAGACUCGAGUGGGUUGCGUUGUGAGGAGCUCGGGUCUCCGCCACACGCCCGCGGACAAGCUUUCUGUUUCCUGUGUACAAAUGAAAAUGUGAUGGGCCAGCAUCCUGUUCCUGUGGCCAUAAUGGGCCUACCUUCUGUAAUGGUCUUGGAGAAUCACUGGAAAUGUGCAAGGUGACAUGCGGGUGAAACGUGUAAUUUCGAAGAAUGAAACUGCACUGCAUCGCGUCUGUUCAAGUGGGAGCAAGCUGGAAGCUGCAAAGAGCUCAGCUGAGUCUGGGGGAGUCCUUGUCCACAUCUUCUCGUUCCUUCCAGCAGCGGUGUUAUACUAGCACUGCUGUCUCUGUCAUAGUCUUAAGGGAGCGAAGGCUCACUCACCUCUGUGCCACUAGUAUUAUGUAACAAACAAUUUUAAACUAGGUCUCUUAAUUUCAAAUCCAGUGGGAUUUAUGAGGAGGCAGAAAUAACUCGGACUUAAGAAUCAUAAUGAAUUUUAAUUCUGACUUUAUAAAGAAGAGGAAGCUGUGUGGCUUCAAGAAACUCAUCAAGCUUGCCUGGGCCUCAAUCUUCUAUGAAAACAUGGUUAAAAAGAAAAAUACCCACCCCCUAACAGUGAAUACUACACAUAUGGACAGCAAAGCCCAGAACAUGAUCCCCAAGAUGUGCUCAGUAAAUGAAUUCCUUUCUUCCUAAAAGAAAUUGUGUUGUUAGGGCUGGUGGAAGAGCUCAGCCAUUAGAGCAUCUUUUGUUCUUCCGAAGACAUGGAUUCAAUUCUGGAUCCAGGCCUGUGGCUGUCAAGUAGGUCUAACUCCAUCUCUUCUGGCCUCCACAGGCACCACACUCUCAUACACAGACUCACAGCCUGUCAGCUACACAUACACAUAAAUAAAAAUAAAAUAAUAUCAUUUUUAAAA